UACGUAGGGUGCGAGCGUUAAUCGGAAUUACUGGGCGUAAAGCGUGCGCAGGCGGUUUUGUAAGCCAGAUGUGAAAGCCCCGGGCUUAACCUGGGAAUGGCAUUUGGGACUGCAAGGCUUGAGUGCGGCAGAGGAGACUGGAAUUCCUGGUGUAGCAGUGAAAUGCGUAGAUAUCAGGAGGAAUACCGAUGGCGAAGGCAGGUCCCUGGGCUGACACUGACGCUCAUGCACGAAAGCGUGGGGAGCAAACAGG
RNAcentral lists this ribosomal RNA (253 nucleotides) under uncultured bacterium. RNAcentral describes it as "partial 16S ribosomal RNA". It matches the Rfam family "Bacterial small subunit ribosomal RNA", at positions 524 to 776 of the family's 1533-position model. The record is from RNAcentral.